RNAcentral lists this ribosomal RNA (505 nucleotides) under uncultured bacterium. Its description in RNAcentral is "partial 16S ribosomal RNA". It matches the Rfam family "Bacterial small subunit ribosomal RNA", at positions 28 to 507 of the family's 1533-position model. The record is from RNAcentral.
GACGAACGCUGGCGGCGUGCCUAAUACAUGCAAGUAGAACGCACAGUUUAUACCGUAGCUUGCUACACCAUAGACUGUGAGUUGCGAACGGGUGAGUAACGCGUAGGUAACCUGCCUGGUAGCGUGGGAUAACUAUUGGAAACGAUAGCUAAUACCGCAUAAUAUUAAUUAUUGCAUGAUAAUUAAUUGAAAGGUGCAAUUGCACCACUACCAGAUGGACCUGCGUUGUAUUAGCUAGUAGGUGAGGUAACGGCUCACCUAGGCGACGAUACAUAGCCGAACUGAGAGGGUGAGCGGCCACACUGGGACUGAGACACGGCACAGACUCCUACGGGAGGCAGCAGUAGGGAAUCGUCGGCAAUGGACGAAAGUCUGACCGAGCAACGCCGCGUGAGUGAAGAAGGUUUUCGGAUCGUAAAGCUCUGUUGUAAGAGAAGAACGGGUGUGAGAGUGGAAAGUUCACACUGUGACGGUAUCUGACCAGAAAGGGACGGCUAACUACGUG